UAACCUGUUUUUUUAAAAACCACAUUCAUAUUAAAAGAGAUUACAU
This is a non-coding RNA of Otolemur garnettii (small-eared galago), 46 nucleotides long. NCBI's taxonomy places the organism in Eukaryota, Metazoa, Chordata, Mammalia, Primates, Galagidae. The record is from Rfam.